GGUGCCGGUGUGACACGGGCUGUCAGGGUGACUACAGGGUGCUGGUGUGACACGGCUGUCAGGGUGACUACAGGGUGCCGGUGUGACACGGGCUGUCAGGGUGACUACAGGGUGCCGGUGUGACACGGCUGUCAGGGUGACUACAGGGUGCCGGUGUGACAUGGGCUGUCAGGGUGACUACAGGGUGCUGGUGUGACUAUGGAGUGCAGGUGUGACUACAGGGUGUCAGUGUGACAUGGUUCGUCAGUGUGAUUCCAGGGUACUGGAGUGACUACGGGCUGUCAGAGUGACUACAGGGUACUGGUGAGACUAUGAGUGCUGGAGUGAUCA
Non-coding RNA from Oryctolagus cuniculus (rabbit), 330 nucleotides. NCBI's taxonomy places the organism in Eukaryota, Metazoa, Chordata, Mammalia, Lagomorpha, Leporidae. The record is from RefSeq and is a predicted model, not a curated record.